GAUGAACGCUGGCGGCGUGCCUAAUACAUGCAAGUCGAGCGAACAGAUGGUGAGCUUGCUCCUCUGACGUUAGCGGCGGACGGGUGAGUAACACGUGGAUAACCUACCUAUAAGACUGGGAUAACUUCGGGAAACCGGAGCUAAUACCGGAUAAUAUAUUGAACCGCAUGGUUCAAUAGUGAAAGACGGUUUUGCUGUCACUUAUAGAUGGAUCCGCGCCGCAUUAGCUAGUUGGUAAGGUAACGGCUUACCAAGGCAACGAUGCGUAGCCGACCUGAGAGGGUGAUCGGCCACACUGGAACUGAGACACGGUCCAGACUCCUACGGGAGGCAGCAGUAGGGAAUCUUCCGCAAUGGGCGAAAGCUUGACGGAGCAACGCCGCGUGAGUGAUGAAGGUCUUCGGAUCGUAAAACUCUGUUAUUAGGGAAGAAAAAAUGUGUAAGUAACUAUGCACGUCUUGACGGUACCUAAUCAGAAAGCCACGGCUAACUACGUG
This 497-nucleotide ribosomal RNA is filed under the name uncultured bacterium. RNAcentral describes it as "partial 16S ribosomal RNA". It matches the Rfam family "Bacterial small subunit ribosomal RNA", at positions 28 to 507 of the family's 1533-position model. The record is from RNAcentral.